UACGUAGGCAGCGAGCGUUGUUCGGAAUUACUGGGCGUAAAGAGUGUGUAGGCGGUGCUCUAAGUUCGGUGUGAAAUCUCCCGGCUUAACUGGGAGGGUGCGCCGGAAACUGGAGUGCUCGAACGUGGGAGAGGAAAGCGGAAUUCCUGGUGUAGCGGUGAAAUGCGUAGAUAUCAGGAGGAACACCGGUGGCGAAGGCGGGUCCCUGGGCUAACACUGACGCUGAGGCGCGAAAGCGCGGGGAGCGAACGGG
This 253-nucleotide ribosomal RNA is filed under the name uncultured bacterium. Its description in RNAcentral is "partial 16S ribosomal RNA". It matches the Rfam family "Bacterial small subunit ribosomal RNA", at positions 524 to 776 of the family's 1533-position model. The record is from RNAcentral.